This is a long non-coding RNA of Solenopsis invicta (red fire ant), 938 nucleotides long. RefSeq lists it as uncharacterized. The transcript has 2 exons. The record is from RefSeq and is a predicted model, not a curated record. NCBI's taxonomy places the organism in Eukaryota, Metazoa, Arthropoda, Insecta, Hymenoptera, Formicidae.
AACAUCUUGAAGACGUCUUUAAUUGAUGUCUAAAAGAUAUCUUCAAGAUAUCUCAUAAAAGAUAUCUUUCAUACAUCUCUAAAAGAUGUCUUAAAGAUAUCUUUAUGACAUCUCGUAAAAGACAUGUUCUACUUGCGCACGCGCACGGUAACGGCCAAUCAGACUUAGACACAUUUUACUUCAUCGCAACGUCCGCAGUGGCUUCUCCCGCAUCGUAAUGCUCUCUGUCCUUAUUUCUAUGUCCAUGGCGAGAGCUAUAACCUAUAACACGUUGUUCCGUAGCCGUCGUUGAAUCUGGGAUACUGUAAAGUCCGUUUGGGGAAUCAAACGUGUGUGGACGCAUUCGUUUAUCCGUUAGCGGAAUUAUUUUUGGUCUCUGCAACCCGCGUGUGAGAGACAAGUACCAAAUUAACUAAUUGAACUGUGCCUGCUGUGCUAAUAUAAUUAAGUUCAAAAGCAACUUAACCUCAUCAAAGAUCAGUAAAUUGGUUUAUCAUGAAAUGUGUAGUUAAUACCAAAAAUAAUGGAGAUAAGAUUAAUAGUAUCGCAGAGAUUAGGAAACAUAUUACAAGAUGGUUUCAACAUGCUGGUGACAAGAUGCAGUAUUACUAAAAAAAAAAAACAAGUCAAUAACUAUAACGUAUGACUAAUAUUUUUAUAUACAGAUUUUUAUUUUUUUUUUGUUUAUUGUAAAGUGUUAUUGAUAUGUGACAAGAUGCGGUAUUAUUCAAAAAAAGCACAAUAACUGUGACAUAUGACUAAUAUUUUUAUAUAAUAUUUUUAUAUAUUUUUAUACAUGUGUAUUUUUUUUGUUUAUUGUGCAAUGUUACUGUGAUGUAUAUAUUCUACAUUAGUACAAUAGGUAUUUAUUUUAAAAAAAUCACAAUAAUUCUGACUAAGUAAUAUUUUAAUAUAGUCAUUUUUAUUUUUAGUUUAUA